Molecule: long non-coding RNA, 9384 nt
Organism: Aedes albopictus (Asian tiger mosquito)
Lineage: Eukaryota; Metazoa; Arthropoda; Insecta; Diptera; Culicidae
Exons: 2
Source: RefSeq, a predicted model, not a curated record
UGUUCUUGAGUUCAGAACUAGUAGGUAAUGAUAUUAAAAUUCCCAUCAUAUAACUUUGUUCAACGCACGGCAUUCAAUCGCGCUUACGGAGUUUAUUGGGAUGUAGACACUCAUGAGAACAUUUGAGAUGUUGUAGAUCUUCAAAGAUAGCAGGACUUAGUUUAGAUUAGAAUAUCAAAUGAACCAAGCAAGAUAUAGAUCAACGGUAACAACUUCCAUUUCCGAUAUCAGUUUAAUGCAGUAUACGGAGUUUCAUUAUAUGUAUUAAGCUGAUAGUAUGGUAGUCCGAAGCACUUUCUUCCUGGGCAAAGAUGUCCAUAAAGCCACCUGGAGAUCACCCGACUUUCAAACAGAACACCAAAUCGACCACGUUCUAAUCGACGGUACAUCGCUGUAUACAUGCGUUCAAAACAGUUGACGGUUAUUAUUACACGUCGAAGUCGAACGCCGCGGCUCCACAUCGAGCGGCUGCAGAACGCAGAAGUGGCUCAAGACUACGCGCAGCCAGAUAGCAGUGCCCCUACCAACGGAAGAGCAGCUUGGCGCAGCUACACUUGAAGAUGGCUGGAGAGACAUCCGAUCCGCCAUAAGUAGUACCGCACUAGGCUUGGCGACUCCGAAUCCCAGAAACGACGAAUUGAAAAACGAGAAGAAUGCAGCAUGGGCGAGAAAGCUGCAACACCGUACGAGAGCGAAUGAGGCACGUUACAAACAGGCGCGGAACAGGCAGAACUCAGUCUUCCGGAUGAAGAAGCGCCAGCAGGAAGAACGAGAUCGCGAAGCGAUGGAAGAGCUGUACCGCGCUAAGGACACACGAAAGUUCUACGAGAAGCUGAACCGCUCGCGCAAUGGCUUUGUGCCACAAGUCGACAUGUGCCGAGAUAAUCACGGGAAUAUUCUCACGAGCGAGCGUGAGGCGGUCGAGAGGUGGCGACAGCAAUACGAUGAGCACCUCAAUGGCGACGUUGCAAGCACCGACGGUGGCGUAUUAAAAGAUCUAGGAAUACGUGCGCAGGACGAAAAACUUCCGGCCCCUAACCUUCAAGAGAUUGAGGAGGAGGUUGACCGGUUGAAAACAACAAAGCCGCUGGAGCAGCUCAACUACCAAGCGAGCUUUUAAAAUACGGAAAGAAGCACUGGUGAGAGCACUACAUUGGAUCAUUAGCAAGAUUUGGGAGAAGGAAGUAUUACCGGAGGAAUGGAUCGAAGGUAUCGUGUGUCCCAUCUACAAAAAGGGCGACAAUUUGGAUAGCGGGAACUAUCGCGCGAUCACACUACUGAACGUUGCCUACAAGAUACUUUCUCAAAUUUUAUGCCGCCGCCUAUCACCCAAUGCAAGAGAGUUUAUAUCAGGCUGAAUUCAUGGGUGAACGCGCUACAACGGACCAGAUGUGUCCUCCAGGUUUUGCAGAAAUGCCGCGCAUACAACGUGCCCACACAUCACUUGUUCAUCGAUUUUAAACCGGCGUAUGAUACAAUCGAUCGAGAUCAGCUAUGGCAGAUUAUGCACGAGUACGGAUUUCCGGAUAAACUGACACGAUUGAUCAAAGCGACGUGCGUAGUUCAAGUAUCAGGGACACUCUCGAGUCCCUUCGAAUCUCGCAGAGGGUAACGGCAAGAUGAUGGUCUUUCCGUUUUUGCUGCUCAACAUUGCGUUAGAAGGUGUAAUAAGGAGAGCGGGGAUAAACACGAAUGGUAUUGUUCGUGCAGUUGAAAAUCGGAAUUUUCGACACGCGAAAUUCGAUUUUUCUGCUAAACCGUGUGUCGGACGUACGUCGGGCACAGUGCGCUGGAUAAGGACUGUAUCGGAAAUUAACUAUAAACGUUCCCAACUGCCUGAAAAAUAAUCUGUUUGAAAUAAACAUAACUUUAUUCUUGGAGAUACUAUGUAAAUCUCUUAAGUAAAGAAUGGCAGUUCUGAUUUUCAAAAAAUAAUCAUUUAACUUGGACUUUGUUUUUAUAAUAAUCAUUCAACUUGGACACAUGUUUUUAAAAUUUUGGACAUCUCCUAAAAGUUUUAAAUAGCGAAAACUGUGGGAAUUUCUCUUAUUUUUGCGCAAAUAUAUUCUUUUCCAUAAUGCUCAUGAUAUAGGAAAAUUAUUUUCAUCAAGAAAAAUUCCCUCAGCAGUUUAGGGCAAUUCUUAAAAAUGAAAAAAGGCCAUGGCCAAUGGCCUUCUUAAAAAUGAAAAAAGGCCAAUGAAAAGGCCAGGCAACCAAGCCACGCAAAUAAAAAAUACAUAAAGUUAAAAAUUUGCAUUUUUUUCGAUUGGGUAUGUAUUUAAAUCUAUUGAAGAGGUAGUUUUACCAGAGAACGGAAUUUUAUAACCUCUAAAGAUAUUAAAAACAGAGCGUCAAAGUUCGACCAAAAAUUAUGUGUUUUUUAGGGAUAGACCAAAUUCUUAAUGUUGGAGGUUUUUCUAUCCAAAAUAAGUAUUUCAAAAGUCGGUUUUGAGUGAUAUGUUAUGUGUACAUAACUGCUAGUAAUAAUCAUUAUUUUCCAGAUUUAUCCCCGUACAAGUUUUUUUCGCUACAAAUGUUUGAAACGUUGAAAAAAUUUAAAAAAAAUGCAGUUUGCACAGAUUGUUAUUUUGUGUGGUAUACUCAUAGAACCAUAUUUUCAAUAAUACUAAACAUAUUCCAAAUUUCUUCAAGCUGUCCUAAACUUUGCUAUAUUGUGAAAAUUUUAUAGAAGAACCGGAAUGAAAAGACCAACCGUGCGUCGAGAUUGAGCAUUUUAAAUGUUUAUAGUUAAUUUCCGAUACAGAUAUAGAGGGCCAGGUCCGCUGUCCAGCGCCCUACGUCCGACGUUAGGUUUCACGUAUGGAUUUUGAGAAAAUUCGAUUGUCGGGUGUGGGGUAUCUACGGGUUUCAACCGCGACGACAAUACGAUUUUGACGGAGUCCGUUCAGCUGCUUGGUUUCGCUGAUCAUAUUGAUAUUAUAGCUCGCAAAUUUGAGACGAUGGCGGAAACGUACAUCCGACUAAAGAAUGAAGCCAGGCGAAUGGAAUUAGUCAUUAAUGUGUAAGACAAAGUAUGCGAUGGCAAAGGACUCUAAAGAGGAUUUUAUGCAAUUCAGUAUCAUAAUUUACAUUUUAUCUAACUUAUUUUGGUAUCAUAAUGGCUAUUUUUUCCGAACUGGUUCAUUAUGCAACUGAAAUGAGUUGCAUAAUGAAAAAUAGUUGUAUAAUAUUCAUAAUGCAACUCAUUUGAGUUGCAUUAUGAAUAUUAUGCAACUCAAAUGAGUUGCAUUAUGAAAAAAUCAUUGCAUAAAAUUUUGUAUGGAACUCGUUGCAAAACUCGAUUUUUUCAGCACUCUUCGUAGGGUAACGGUUGAAUUUUGGACCCCUAGAGGACAUUAGUUUGAAUUUAAGUCAAAAUCAAACAGAUUCAGAGAGUAUUUACACAUAAUAAUAAUGUUAGUAUAUUCGUAAAAGCCUCCACUGUCCGUUAAAAAUACCCACAAAGUCAUUUCUGGCUGAAAAUUUGAUGAAAAUAACUGAUUUUUGAAGCAUCAGUUUUCACUGUUUUGGACACCCCAAUAUAUUUUGGACCCUCCUCAGUAUAUAUUUUGGACACCCGGUGUUUAAACUCGUUUGAAACUAUUUUGGAACAUUUUGCCGCUUGAAUAUGCUGGAUCACAUCCUAAUUACUUGAUUGACAAAGGCUGAUUAGACGAACAUUGCGAAUUUAAUGCGCUAGAAUGAUAAACAUUUUUGUUUACAUCUGCAAGUUUCCUCAACACCGCAAUCUCUUUUUGUAAACAUGAACGAUACUCGCACGGAUGACGAGAUUGGCAAAAAUUAAUUUCAAGGCAAACAAGGAUAUUUCCAGUAAGGAAAAGAUUGCUGCCCGUGCAGAGCAAUCUUAUUUAGCGAAUGAUUUUAAAAAUUUCCGUCAUCCUAUCAUUAAACCUGUGUAAGUUGUGAUAAUACGACCCAGGGGGUCCAAAAUAUAUGGGGGUCCAAAUUAUAUUGGUUACCCUAUUUAUCCAACUCGGCGAGCCUCGUUGGAUACAUGUACGACUCGUGCUGAAAAAAUCAACUUUUUGCAACUCGUUACAUAAAUAACUAUUAUAUUCUUAAGGACUGUAUCGUUAAUUAUGAGUACACCUUAAGGACAGACUUGUUAGAAUCCCAAGAUGGCCGCCACAAUGGCCGACUUUGGUACCUACUCACGAUUUCGAGGGCACAAAUCUCUUCGUAAACAAAACCAGCGCACCUGAGCUUCUCAUUUUAAGCUUAUUACAAGUGAGCAAGAACAUAAUAAUAAAAUGCAUUGUUGUUUGAAGCUUGCUUCUUGAGAUUUGUGCGUGUGAAGUAUUGAUGCACUGUUGAAGCGGGAUUUCAAGACGUUUGUCCUUAAAAUUGCUGUAUUUCAAAAUGUUUUAUUUAUUUUGUAAAUUAAAUUCAAUUACAUUGUUCAUUGACCAUCAGAAAAGCCCAUGACAUGAUUGUAUAUUUAAUUUUUCAUGGAUCUUGCCACCUCUCGCACUUUCUUCUUGGCGUGCUUCAUAAGAUUUUGGACAACCGUUCCGACGAUGGUUUUGCAUACGUUGACCCAGUUUUUCUUGAAUUUUGUGACGUCCUCUGCUCCUCUAUCCUUUUUCCGUAGUUUCCCUUUCAUCAUAGUUAACUAUUUCUCAAUGGGCCUUAUUUACGGGCAAUUUAGAGGAUUCAUUGCCUUUUCCACAAAUUGAACAUUGUUUCCUUCAUACCUGUCAAAGGUGUCACGCGCAUAGUGGCAGGAUGCCAAAUCCGGCCAAAGUAAUGUAGGACCUUUGUGCUUUCAGAUGAGUGGCAGAAUAUGUUUCUGGAGACAUUCCUUCCGGUAUAUUUCGACGUUCAUACCUGGGACGGUGAAGAUAGGUGACGAUUUCAUACCACAUUGACAAAUUGCUUGCCUAACCAACACAUUUUCCCAUUUUUUUCGCAAAAAUUCGAUUUCUCCUAAUUCGUAACAUCCGUGCCAUGCUUAACAGUGAAAAUCCGUGCCCCUGGAAAUACCUUGUAGUCCAAUUUGACAUACGUUUCAUCAUCCAUGAAUAUGCACAUGCAAUUUUUGCUCAAAACAUCGUCGUACAGCUUCCAAGCCUGAGUUUUCACAUAAUCCGCCAGAAUUUGACUGCGUUUUGGACAUUUCUGUUUUGGGUACCCGUAUAAAAAUGAACCAUUGGAUUUUCUGUUGAUACCAUUGGUUUACAAUAGAAAGUACCGUCCACAUAAAAAUGUAUUGUUUUUCAAAUGUCAAAAAUAUAUUUGCAAAUUGUAUCUACAAUACAAAACAUAACAUUUUUAUGUAACAAUAUAUUGUAUUGCUUUGCAUAUGUUUUACCAUACGCAUUUUAUUUUUUUUUCCGUGUGUUUUUAUCAUCAAAUUUUGGGCAUUUAUUUUUACCGUGCAUGUUUUGGUGUCAUGUCUCAGAAAAAAAACAAAAAGUGUAGCGGUUGUGCUUCUUCCCGUCCGAGUUCCCGUCCGUAUUCCCAGUGGACCCAGACUAGAACCGGUAAAGGGAAUCCUCCGGAGCGUGUCCAGCUGUCUUAACGGAAGCCAUCGCCGUCCACGAAGUGUACUGGAUCAAUGUGAUUGCCGGAGGAAUCUUCUGAUGCGGGCGAGGAUGCGGGGUAGCAGGAAAAUACUGAGAAAGGUUUGAUAAAGGUAAUUCAUGUUCCAAAUCGAUUUGCUGCGGAAGAUCUGGAGAAUGCGGUACACUUGCGACCCCGGACGAUGCUAAAUACCAGACUGCCGGCAAGACGAGCAGCAUAAUGCAAUCGGUUUUCAUCAGAGCUCGAUUUGCGGACAAGGAAACACGAGCAACUGGAGCUCAUUCCCGGCGACGUAAUGCGGAACACGGAUGGAAGAUUUCCGGAAGCAAAUUGGUUUAGGAAGGACGUUACUUGAAAUGUAUUAGCCUUAUGGUUUUACGGUAAGGGGCGAGUGGGGUGGAGUGCUAAGAAGGGGCUGGCGUUGUCGAAGUAAGACCCGAUGCACACGAACUACCAUCAUAAAUUUUGUGAAAGCGCCUAGCGUGAGUUAUCUAUUGUAACAAGCAUUAAAAAAACUUUACUGCGCUAUCUAUUGCAUUAGGACAUUGAGCAAUCCGUAUAUUUGAAGGGCUAUUCAAACUAGAAGCUUGUGUAGUCAAAAUUUAAAGGACUUAUAAUCUGUACAAUGAUGUAUGCGUCGUUUUGGGAAACAAGUCCCAAAAUGACACACAAAUAUAUCAUUGUAUUAAAAUCAUCUUUUGCAUUUGAACGAUCUUCUAAUAUAGGUUCCAGCUGUAGUAUAUCGAGUUUUUUCAAGUGCUGCAAUAAUGAUUAAGCACGCUGUAAUGUUACUUUUGUACCUCAUCACCCACUAAAUGCAACUACAUUAGUGGUCUAAUAACACUUAGCGCGCUUCGGCACGGUUCCAUCACGCCGCUUAUGGUGUUGCCACAUAUAAUGCUUAGUCUGCUAAACCCAGUUAUCUGGCUGUGGGGCAUGGGAGCUUAAGCUUCAACCACAAAUGCAAUUAAACAUUACUCGAUUUACAACACGAGUGUUCUAAAUAUUCGAUAAUUGUUCGAUCUGUGCUCUUAAAAUGUAGCUUGAAAUAUACAAGCUUUUAGCCCAAAUGUAUAAUGAUAGUUCAGUUUCGCUUUAUUCGAGUUUUUUCUAGCAGUCAGUAACAAAAUCAAUAAGCAGAAAUAGAUUAAACCAUUUCAAAAUCAGUAUAUACUUUUGUAAAAUUAAACUAUUCCAAAAUAUCAGAAUAUUCUGUUUCACAAUAGAAAACAAUACAAAGGAAUACGUUCACCAUACAUUUCACUGUCGAAAAUAAUUUGAAAACAUAAGAAUCUUCUGUUUCACAAUGGAAAACAAUACUCAAACCAUAGAAUUCUAUGUAAAAACAGUACAAACAUAAUGUUCGGAUUCACAAAAGAAAACAAUUACAAAACAAUUGAAUCUAAUGUGGAGCCAGUUAUAAAGUCACUGCUCAAAGGAAUACGUUUACUAUACAUUUCACUGUCUAAUACAAUUUGAAAACAUAAGAAUCUUCUGUAUCACAAUAGAAAACAAUACCCAAAUCAUAGAAUUCAAUGUAAAAACAGUACAAACAGAAUGUUCUGUUUCACAAUAAAAAACAAUUCCAAAACCAUUGAAUCAAAUGUGGAACCAGAAAUAAAACAAUCUGAAAACAAUACGUUUACUAAGAAUUUUACUGUUUGAAACAAUUCAAAAACAUAAGAAUCUUCUGUAUCACAAUAGAAAACCAUCCCCAAACCAUUAAAUCUAAUGUAAAAUCAUAGUUCAAAACAGAAUGUUCUCGGCUUAUUUAACUGUUCAAAACAAUACAAAUACAUAAAAAUCUUCUGUAUAUUUGGUUGGACAUAUCGGCAUCACUGACAUUUAAUUUACAAUAGAAUCUUAUGUUUUGCGAAAAAACUAGUAUGGAAAAAAGUCAUUUUUUGUAUUGUUACGAUACUUAACAACCUAUACAAUUCAAUGUGAAAUGCUCAUUCACAAUUGAUUCUAUUGUUAGAAACAUUCGAUUCUAUUGUUUUUCUAUUGUUAUUUUAACAUUGAAUUCUAUUGUGAAACAAUGGUUUUUAAUGGUACUGUUACAUUGGAAUCCUAUGUUUUUCUAUUGUAUUUUUUAUCCGGGUAGGUCUUCGGGGAAUUACGUUCCUUGGCGCGUUGAACCAUACCAACAGUCGUUUCACACUUUUUUGCUUAAUCUCUAAUGGAUACCUCCUAUUUUCCUUCAACGAUUUUGCAAGUUUUGCUGUCCAAAUGUGACUUGGACGCACCUGUUUUUUGCCGCGUCCGGGUAAGUCUUUCAGUGUGCUAUGCAUACCGAAUCGUUUGAUAGCAUUUUGGACAACAAAAACCCUAACACAUUCAAUUUUUGCUAAUUUUCUUAGCGAUGAUCAUUUUUCCUUGCAGUGCCUGGUCACAAUCGAUUUUCGCUUCUCCUCCGUAAACCCUCGCAUUGUUCCACUUGAGGAAAAACUUUAACUUUUAAUGAAGGUUAUCGUUUGUUUACAACGUUAGCAACACAUAGACACAAAGCAGUUAACAAAAUAAGGCAUAGUCUUUUUAAUACAGAGCCUCAAAGGUGUACUCAUAAUUAACGAUACAGUCCUUAGAUAGGUGAUUUCGAAUACUUUGACCCAUUCUCACCCCCUCUAAGGGGUGAGAUUGGGUCAAUUUUCAAUCAUUUGUAGUUUACUAAGCAAUUCAUAUAACGUGAUACUUUCUUGCUAAACUAUUGUCGCGCUUAUCUUUUAUUAGAGUCCUGCGGCGGUCGUACGCUCGCAAAGCAUACCGCCGCAUGACAGUCGCAAGGCAAAUCAAAAGAAAAAGUGUUCCCGUUAAAAACAAAAGCACGUGGAUUUCGCGACGUGACAGAUGUUUUUGAAUGUAUUUGUGACGAACGGCAAGAGUGGCUCAGUGGAAUGAGUGUUCUUGCUGUCAAACCCCAUUUAAUGGAAUUAUAUACUUUUAAAUCUGGUGACGCUGUUAUGAUUAGUGACUGUCGCGCUAAUAUCAGAAGCUAGAGGCAGAUAAUCGCCAUAUUCUGAUUUUUCUUGAUAUGCAUAAUAUCAUUACCACAUAGGAGAGUAUACAUACCAAAUAAUAGUAGUUUACGCAACAAGGUGCAGAAUGAUGAUUUUUACAGCACGAGCCGUACAUUUAUCCAACGAGGCUUGCCGAGUUGGAUAAUUACGAUGAGUGCUGUAAAAAUCGAGUUCUGCACCGAGUUGCGUACAACGUUUUUUGCAACUUCAUAAAUUACCACUUGAGGAUAGUUUUUAACAAAACUUUUUCAUCAGACUGCACGCUGAUGUACAUAGUCAUGAUUAAGGAAGUCUGAUCAUAGCAGGUUAUACUGUGCAGAUGUUCAGGCCCGGAUUUAAGGAGGGGCAUAGGGGGCAAGUGCCCCGGGCCCCCCGAUGAAGGGGGCCCCCCAAGAAUCCGAAACACAAUUUAUAUUUUUCAACGAAACCAUAUAAAAUUCACGUCAAUGGGCGUUCAUAUUUUAAACAGGGCCCCUAUAGCCACAGCUGUUAAGGCGUGGAUAUUCAGCAUGACCAUUCUAAGGGUGACGCGUUCAGUUCCCGGUCGGUCCAGGAACUUUUCGUAAAGGAAAAUCCUUGACUUCCUCAGGUAAAGAGUGUCUUCGUGCCUGCCACACGAUAUACACAUACGAAAUGGUCAUUGAUAAAGGAAACUCUUUGUUAAUGACAGUUCCACAGUUACUGUGGAAGUGCUCAUGAAACACUAAGGUGAGAAGCAGUGUCCCAGUGAGGACGUCACAUAAAAAAAAGAACCUAUAAUUAGGUUCCUAAAUGUAUCUUAAUUAUUUCUGGCCAUUUAUCUGGAUUUUCUCUUAACCCUUCA